Molecule: ribosomal RNA, 162 nt
Filed under: Arrhenatherum calderae
Lineage: Eukaryota; Viridiplantae; Streptophyta; Magnoliopsida; Poales; Poaceae
Description: 5.8S ribosomal RNA
Rfam family: 5.8S ribosomal RNA
About the family: 5.8S ribosomal RNA (5.8S rRNA) is a component of the large subunit of the eukaryotic ribosome.
Source: RNAcentral
CACACGACUCUCGGCAACGGAUAUCUCGGCUCUCGCAUCGAUGAAGAACGUAGCGAAAUGCGAUACCUGGUGUGAAUUGCAGAAUCCCGCGAACCAUCGAGUCUUUGAACGCAAGUUGCGCCCGAGACCAUUCGGUCGAGGGCACGCCUGCCUGGGCGUCAC